UCACAUUAUCUUCAAAACUCUUAGUUUAAAAAGGCAGAGGAGUGGAUCACAAGUAAUUUGGAAAAAAAAUUCAGUUUGCCAACCUUUUAAAGAAAUCUUAAAACCUCUGGUGUCAAAUUUCAGUUAGUUAGAAAGAUAAUGCAUGUGGAAUGGCUCAUCUCCCAUAGAAACCAGAGAAUGAGAUGCCACUGUAUCUACGGAAAGGCAAAUAUGCCCACAUAUCUCAAUAACCCCAGAGAGCGGGUCAGUUAGAGUGUUUCAAAUCAUCCAGUCUCCUGGGCAUCUGGGAUGUCAUGGCGACUGCACCAAUUAUACUAACUUUUGUGAUUUUCCCAAAAUAUUUGAUGUGCCUCUUACUCAGGGGGCCAAGGGCAACACUAAGCAAGCUACGGUGGAGGGAAAGAGGGCUCAUGGCAGAGGGCUGUGGUCAGGGCGGGGCGCCACUGAGGAGAGAAAUCUGUCCCCUUUCAGCGGCUCUCUGUGGUUUGUUCUCUCUUCUCAGUGUGUGGGAGAUACAUGUGAGCCCUGCCUCCAUUGUAUGGCCGGGAAACCAUUGCCAGUGUAGAAGUACCCACUAUAGUUUUCUAGGUGGAGGAAAUGGGGUAGGUGUGAAAUGGGCACCCAUCUCAGAAUGGUUUCAGAUUGUAGGAACUAUGCACCAUUACAAGCCACUGCUUUUGGUGGACAGCUGUGUCCACAGGUGGUUUAAGAGGGAGCCUCAGGGGCAGAGGGAGAGGAGAACGGAAGCCCUCCUUCAGCUAAACGUGAACCUGGUGAAUUUGGAUGAGCUCCUUAGCUCUAAAUUGUUAUUUCCAUUCUCGGGCUCCUUCAAGGACCCCAAGCCUCCAAUUUGCCACAGGCUUUGGGACAUGGCGCCUGCUCUUGAAAGCAAGCAUUUAGGAGUUUUUAAAGGCCUAAGUUCAAACCUGCUACUAGAAAAGAUACAUUUAAAGGGAAGAUGCCCUGCUGUAAAUUAGUGGCUUUCCAUUGGGACCACACUUAGUGGAGUCCAGGGGUUGGUGACCCAUGUCUUGAGUAAUGGGAGACUAGAACCAAGUUGCUUGUGUGUGAGGGAGUCAGAUGGAACAAAGGUUUCUUCAUGGAAAAGCAAGUGGCAGUGAUGGUAGUACCUGGGGAGUGUUUUGGCGAUUGCGCUGUUCAAGACUGGAUAGAGAGCCAAAUCUGGGCUGUGCAGUCGGCUGUGCUUUUGGCAGGAAUGAGAAGGGCAGGUUGGAGUGACAAAAAAAACCACCAAGAGUCUCUGUGUGGUGACUCACCCAUGCUCCCAGCCCUCCCCCAUCCAUUCCCGUGAAUCCGUAUAGGUUUAAAGAGCCUGCCUAUUAGUCAGACUCUCUCAGGGGGCACAGAGACCCUCUCAGGUUACUUUCAGUAAUGGGGAUUUAUUGUAAGGAUAUUUCUGGAAAUUGGGAGGCCUCAAAGCCUUAGGAUUCCAUAAACACUGAGGACAGAUUGGCUUCUAGGAGCUCGGAACAGGAUUCUGGACCUCAGGCAGCUCCAGGGGUCUGAUUAUCUCAUACUCUCUACAACGAGAUAAGAAGUUUAUGGCUGGAUUGAAAACCAGGCAUGUUUGCCUCUGAGGUCUGUGCUCCUUCCACUGGUGGAGUCAGGAAGACAUGGACUCUGAGCAUUGUUCAAUCCCUUACCAGGGCUGUGACUUGAGUGAAGUAGCCACAGAGUGGAUUGUUUCUGGCAAGAAGAGGACUGUGACUGGCUUCUCCAGCAACACAACUGGCUGCUUUCUGGACCAUCAUCUUUGACCAUUAUUGUGUACUGUGGGACAGCACAUUAAUUUGAAUAUGUUUUGAAACCAAGAAUCAUUAGACAGGUAGAAAUUCUAUUUGUGUGUAUCUGAGUAUAUAAAAUGAGUCGAAGAAAAGCAAUUUUUGGAUCAUCUGCUGAUUUGCAUUGUUUGGAAAUUGAUACGGAUCAUUGAGACUUCAAUGAAGUUAUGCUGACUACAUCCAGGUAGUCUGUGUUGUCAAGAAAUUCAUUGGUUUCCCCACUGAACUCUGUCCCCUGACAAGUGUUGGAGAUAUGAAGUGGUGAUGACCAUU
Herpailurus yagouaroundi (jaguarundi) is the source of this 2075-nucleotide long non-coding RNA. RefSeq lists it as uncharacterized. The transcript is spliced from 3 exons. The record is from RefSeq and is a predicted model, not a curated record. NCBI's taxonomy places the organism in Eukaryota, Metazoa, Chordata, Mammalia, Carnivora, Felidae.